UACGUAGGAGGCAAGCGUUGUCCGGAAUUACUGGGCGUAAAGCGCGUGUAGGUGGUGGGACAAGUCUGCUGUGAAAGCGCCUGGCUUAACCGGGCGAGGUCGGCGGAAACUGUCCGACUCGAGGACGGUAGAGGGGGGUGGAAUUCCCGGUGUAGUGGUGAAAUGCGUAGAGAUCGGGAGGAACACCAGUGGCGAAGGCGGCCUUCUGGACCAAUACUGACGCUCAUGCACGAAAGCGUGGGGAGCAAACAGG
Molecule: ribosomal RNA, 253 nt
Filed under: uncultured bacterium
Lineage: Bacteria
Description: partial 16S ribosomal RNA
Rfam family: Bacterial small subunit ribosomal RNA
Source: RNAcentral